AUGAUGGCCCCUUUGGCCGGGCAACUCCACAACGCCGUCGACGGAUUGUGUCCGCUCACGUUCGUGUGGGCUCGAAACACACACAAAACGAGGCCUAUGUGGACGCAAAUAGACGAGCGCCCGUUUUUUGUCCGCCCGCUAUUUAUUUCAUACCCAAAUUUAGGCCGGGUUUGCGUCGGCGUGGACAGGGCGUGGACGCGCACGACGCCCGCCCUUGACGACUAUGGCCAAGAGGAAGAAGAUGAAGUGGACAUCGAGGGGGAGCCUUUGUUUGCCGACAAGCUCAUUCACCAAGCCAAUGCGCAAAGGAAGAAAAGGCAAAGCACUCGGACGAAGGCAUACACAAAGGACGAGGACAAGCUCAUUUGCGAAUGUUGGAGAGAUAUUGGACAAGAUCCCAAGAUCGGCGGCGAGCAAAAAGGAUCAACCUUUUGGUUGAGAGUUCAUGCCCAAUUCCAUGAACGCAAGAAGUUCCCCUCCUACAAGUUUGAGAGCAAGCGUGGUUGGGUAUCCAUCUCCAAGAGUUGGGGGCUCCUCCAACAAGAGUGCAACAAGUUUUCUGCCACCCUUGAGAGCAUCAAAGCCUGCAUACCAAGUUUUGGAGCAUUCAAGGCCCAAUAUGGGAACAAGCCGUUUACCCUCACCCAUUGUUGGAUGAUCUUUGAUCAUGAGGAGAAGUUCAAGGAGCAAUAUCCCACCCUCAAGAAUAAUGUAGGGCCGGACGCCGUCACGGACCAUGGCGGGGAAGGAAGCGGACGCAGGGAAAUACCAACUCCAAGAAGGGGAAGAAGUGUGAUGCAGCGACAUUUGCCUUCUAGGAAACUUUGCAAAAAAAAGCUAAAGAUGGAGGCCGACAUACAAGCAAAGAAGCUAGAGAUGGAGGCGGACAUGCAAGCGAAGAAGCUCGAGAUAGAGGCGAACAAUGCCAAGACCAAAGCAAAAGAGGUGGCACUCGCUUGCAUGGUGAAGGAGGUGGAGAUCAUGACGGUGGACUUGAGUAAGGUUUCCCCGAGAAGAAGGCCUUGGUUCGAGAAGAGGCAAAAGGAUAUGCUCGAGCUAGAUGGUUGA
Molecule: ribosomal RNA, 1068 nt
Filed under: Triticum aestivum (bread wheat)
Lineage: Eukaryota; Viridiplantae; Streptophyta; Magnoliopsida; Poales; Poaceae
Description: partial small subunit ribosomal RNA
Source: RNAcentral